CAGUCGCCGCGGGAAUACGAAGGGUGCAAGCGUUAAUCGGAAUUACUGGGCGUAAAGCGUGCGUAGGCGGUUUGUUAAGUCUGUUGUGAAAUCCCCGGGCUCAACCUGGGAAUGGCAAUGGAUACUGGCAAGCUAGAGUGUGUCAGAGGAUGGUGGAAUUCCCGGUGUAGCGGUGAAAUGCGUAGAGAUCGGGAGGAACAUCAGUGGCGAAAGCGGCCAUCUGGGACAACACUGACGCUGAGGCACGAAAGCGUGGGGAGCAAACAGGAUUAGAUACCCCUGUAGUCCCUGUCUCUUAUAC
RNAcentral lists this ribosomal RNA (301 nucleotides) under uncultured bacterium. RNAcentral's name for it is "partial 16S ribosomal RNA". It matches the Rfam family "Bacterial small subunit ribosomal RNA", at positions 509 to 807 of the family's 1533-position model. The record is from RNAcentral.